This 1461-nucleotide long non-coding RNA is filed under the name Canis lupus familiaris (dog). RNAcentral describes it as "lncRNA (ENSCAFG00030023067.1)". Lineage: Eukaryota; Metazoa; Chordata; Mammalia; Carnivora; Canidae. The record is from RNAcentral.
AUGGGAUGGAGCCGAGCACAAGCGCUCCCGCUCCCGUGGAAGAGGCAGCGAACUGCUGGGGCGCCCCCCCCAUCGCCCCUGGGGAAUGGGACCCAAUGGGAGCUGCCCCCGCUGCUCCCGCCCUGGAGGACCGACGGGCCGCCCCGCGCCGCCCUGGGGGUGGGACCCGGCUGCUCCCACGUGGAGGACCGACGGGCCGCCCCGCGCCGCCCUGGGGUGGGACCCGGCUGCCCCCGCGUGGAGGACCGACCGGCCGCCCCGCGCCGCCCUGGGGUGGGACCCGGCUGCCCCCGCUGCUCCCACGUGGAUGGGGUGGGACCCGGCUGCCCCCGCUGCUCCCGCCGUGGAGGACCGACGGGCCGCCCCGCGCCGCCCUGGGGGUGGGACCCGGCUGCCCCCGCUGCUCCCGCGUGGAGGACCGACGGGCCGCCCCGCGCCGCCCUGGGGUGGGACCCGGCUGCCCCCGCUGCUCCCGCGUGGAGGACCGACGGUGGCCCAGAUGCUCCCGCACGGGGUGGGGGUGGGGGCGGGGGGGCCGCCGGGCCGAGCCCCCAGCUAGGGCCGCAGUCGGGCGCCCGGCGCCGCUCGCAGAGGAUGCCCGGGACCCCUCCGCCAGGCAAAGGAGUCCCCGCUCCCUCUCCCUUCUCCGCUGUAGAAAGGCCCUGGCGCCGCCUCCCCAGCCGUGCUCCUUCACCUCAGAGACGUCUCCCCGCCUCCCAGACUCCGCGGCCGAGGGAAGCCGCCCACUCUCCUUUUCCACACUGUGCCAUCUUCUCCCGCAAAACGUGCGCUCGGCCCCGGCUGUGUCCCUCCGCCCCCUCCUCGCUUCUCAAGUCCCCCGGCGGCGAGUGGCCGCGCCGCGCCGCGCGCUCUCGCGAGAGUCCGCCACACGGAAGCCCCGCGCCCGCGAGGAGGCCUCCCGGGACCCCGCGGCGCGCGGUGGCGGGCGGCGCAUGCGUGGCCGCGGCUCCCAGCGCCCCCCGCGCAGCCAGCGGGCGGGGCGGAGCGGAGCGGACCGGGCUGCGCGCGCGCGGGGCCGACCGCCUUCCCCUGCGAGGCCUCGCUGGGUCCCCGUGGCCGGGCUGCCCUCGGGGGCGGUACCGCCCGGCGGCUCCCGUCGGCGUGCGGAGGUGUCCGCGGACGGACGGCCCGGACCGCCCUGGCCCCGGAAGAGCCUGGCGCCGGCCUCGGACGCCGCGGGCCCGACCGGCCACCCGCAGCGGCCUGGACGCGCCGCCGGGGCCGAGCCUCGCACCCCGCACCCCGCAGCCCGCACCCCGCACCCCGCAGCCCGCAGCCCGGGCGGGGCCUGCACGUCCGGCCCCAUCCACCCGGGGCCUCGCCUCCCCGGAGCCCAGCCCCCUCCCGGCCCGGCUGUCCAGCCCCCGCCCACCGCUUCUUUUCAGUCCCCUUGAAAUCUCUCCCGGUCCCCUGGCCUCGGUCUUGCGGACGUUGCACUAA